AUACGUAGGUGACAAGCGUUAUCCGGAUUUACUGGGCGUAAAGGGCGUGUAGGCGGUCUUGCAAGUCAGAAGUGAAAUUCCUGAGCUCAACUCGGGCGCUGCUUCUGAAACUGCAGGACUUGAGUGCUGGAGGGGAUAGCGGAAUUCCUAGUGGAGCGGUAAAAUGCGCAGAUAUUAGGAAGAACACCGGUGGCGAAGGCGGUUAUUUGAACAUUAACGGUGGCUGGGGGGCGAACGCGUGGGGGGAAAACAGGAUUAGAUACCCGGGUAUCCCACGCCGUAAACGAUGGGUACUAGGUGUAGGAGGUAUCGACCCCUUCUGUGCCGGAGUUAACGCAAUAAGUACCCCGCCUGGGGACUACGGUCGCAAGACUAAAACUCAAAUGAAUUGGCGGGG
This 397-nucleotide ribosomal RNA is filed under the name uncultured bacterium. RNAcentral describes it as "partial 16S ribosomal RNA". It matches the Rfam family "Bacterial small subunit ribosomal RNA", at positions 523 to 918 of the family's 1533-position model. The record is from RNAcentral.